GACGAACGCUGGCGGCGUGCUUAACACGUGCAAGUCGAACGGAAAGGCCCUGCUUUUGUGGGGUGCUCGAGUGGCGAACGGGUGAGUAACACGUGAGUAACCUGCCCUUGACUUUGGGAUAACUUCAGGAAACUGGGGCUUAUACCGGAUAGGAGCUCCUGCUGCAUGGUGGGGGUUGGAAAGUUUCGGCGGUUGGGGAUGGACUCGCGGCUUAUCAGCUUGUUGGUGGGGUAGUGGCUUACCAAGGCUUUGACGGGUAGCCGGCCUGAGAGGGUGACCGGCCACAUUGGGACUGAGAUACGGCCCAGACUCCUACGGGAGGCAGCAGUGGGGAAUAUUGCACAAUGGGCGGAAGCCUGAUGCAGCAACGCCGCGUGCGGGAUGACGGCCUUCGGGUUGUAAACCGCUUUCGCCUGUGACGAAGCGUGAGUGACGGUAAUGGGUAAAGAAGCACCGGCUAACUACGUG
RNAcentral lists this ribosomal RNA (468 nucleotides) under uncultured bacterium. Its description in RNAcentral is "partial 16S ribosomal RNA". It matches the Rfam family "Bacterial small subunit ribosomal RNA", at positions 28 to 507 of the family's 1533-position model. The record is from RNAcentral.